UACAGAGGGGGCAAGCGUUGCUCGGAAUCACUGGGCGUAAAGGGCGCGUAGGCGGGAUGGCAAGUCGGUCGUGAAAUCCUUCGGCUCAACCGAAGAACGUCGGCCGAUACUGCCGUUCUUGAGGGAUGCAGAGGAGAUUGGAAUUCCCGGUGUAGCGGUGAAAUGUGUAGAGAUCGGGAGGAACACCGGUGGCGAAGGCGGGUCGCUGGCCUGUAACUGACGCUGAGGCGCGAAAGCGUGGGGAGCAAACAGG
RNAcentral lists this ribosomal RNA (253 nucleotides) under uncultured bacterium. Its description in RNAcentral is "partial 16S ribosomal RNA". It matches the Rfam family "Bacterial small subunit ribosomal RNA", at positions 524 to 776 of the family's 1533-position model. The record is from RNAcentral.